GUCCAAAUCCCAUCCCCAGCUCUCUUGUUGCUCCCUUAGGUACCGAAAGGCCACAGUAAGUUCACCCCAGAGCCAUUUUGCUGCUCAGAUGAAUGGAAGAAUCCUGCUCUGAAUCGAUCCAGUUUUGACCUGGGCAGAGAGGAGGCCCAGUUGAAACCAUUAAAGAUUUAUUCCUGACAGAACCAAUUAGGCCUGGCUGAGCAGCAAAGACCUUAAUUAGUCACAUGACUCAAAUUCCUUACUCACGCAAUUGGCACCAGGAAAUUAAUUACAGCAGCAGCAGCCCAGGCAGGGCGGAUGGAUUGUGACUGUCAUGAGGGGAUGCACCAAGACCCACUGAGAGCUCAGGUUCUUUUCAAUCUCAGAAGAUUUCUAAGCAAGUCCAGUAUUCAGUGAAAUCAGCAUCAAGAAUUCUAAGAAAAUAGACCUGAUGCUUCCAGUUGUUCAGGAGAAGAAACACUUGCUAACGGAUGUGACAUGUUUUUGAACCAUUUUCCAAGGUAAUGGAAAAAGUUAAGCAUAUUCCCUAGUAUGCACAUUGAUGACUAAGCUGCCAAUAUGAAAUCAAUUUAAGCAAGUGCAGUCCCUAUUUAAUCCUUGUAUAAAUUAAUUUUAGGACUCUCCUUCUCCUACAGGAAGACUAAAUUGUAGCAUCUAAUUUUUUUUUUUUAUCCUGAAGUCUCAGUCUUUGCUCUCUCUACAUAUCUAUCUGCAAUAAGUCAGUUUAGGGACUGAAGCCAAAGCCACAGAAGUGGAUUCCGUGCCAAGGUUCCUUUUAUACCUGGUGAACUACUCAGUUCCCUACUGUCCCAAAGGGAAACAAAAGACUCCCAGUUUUCUGAAAACCAGAUUCUCUGCACGACAGUGCAUUGCAUUGCCACAGGAUGGGCCACAGUGGAUGUUCUCCUAGCAAACAAAUCAGGUAACUAACAAGUACAAAGAAUUAGAAAUUAACUUGGUAAAAAUGCUUCUAACAUUUUCCCAGUGGUGUAUUAACUAGAAUCCUACUUUCAUUCCACAAAAAAUAGAUAUAUUUUUUUAUAAAUACAUUUUAAUACAGACAACUCUGCUGCUAUGCCAAAAAAAAGUCAAUGUCACAUUCAAACAGGUUUGCUGGGUGUAUUAAGAUACAAGCAGACAUCACAGCAGGCAUGAACACAGGGCUUGGAGGGAGGCUACAGACACACAAACACCAUUUCACCCGCUGGGUCACACUGACCAGUGACAUAGAAAACAACUGAGCUGCAGCGUUGAGACCUAGAGCAUCACACUCUCCAAAUACUUCAAAUAUUUCCAUGUAUAGAAAAUGAUACGAACUGUGAAUGACAUUUAAUGUUAGUAUUGAAACACUUCUAUAAAUUUAGGUAGUGCUUAUGCUGGGGGUAUAGAGAAGAACCACGAAAUGAGGCUCCCAGCUGACUCAGACUCAAGAGAAAACUCAUUUACACUUACCAUGGCCUUGAACCUCUUGGGUCCAAAUAGCUGAAAUUAAUUCUUUUCCUGUCCUUGUCCCCCUCUCCCCUCAUUUUUUUCCCCCCACAAAGAGUCAAUGCACAUAAAUCUGCCCAGCUUUUGUGCCAUACAUACACAUUUCUAUUUGCUCCCCCACACCUCUAUUAACAAUAGCAAUCAUCUCUAUAGUUUCCUUCCUAACCAGAUCUAAUUAAAAUUGAGCUGUUAACCAUCUUUUGCAGGUUAUGAAUAAUUAAUACAGCAUUUUUAUAAUACUUAUUAAGUAUAGCUGUUGGACAUUAGCAUUUUCUUACCUUAAAUAGCCCCCCAUCUUUGCAUGACUAAGAGUUCUCUAUAAUUUUUGUUAUGAAGAUUGGAAUUUAUUUUUUAUGGGUCGAUAUGUAGCACUAUUUCUCAAUAUACUUUAACAGUCUUUUCUCAAACUGAAGGUAUUUGGAAGUUGGUAGCCUGCAUGUUUCACACACAGCCAGCCAUCACUGUGACACUCUACAUAGGAUUUUGAAAUGAAACUCAAACAGAGGACAGAGAUGGAAAACAGAGCAUCUUACUGACCUGCUCAAAAACAAGACACAGAGAGAGAUUGUGAGCAAGAACUAAACCCCAACACAUUGUUUUCAAACCUACAGAGACUUCCUACAUUAAAUAAAAUAAAUAAAUAAAUUCUUCAGAGUCA
Pipra filicauda (Wire-tailed manakin) is the source of this 2146-nucleotide long non-coding RNA. RefSeq lists it as uncharacterized. The transcript is spliced from 4 exons. NCBI's taxonomy places the organism in Eukaryota, Metazoa, Chordata, Aves, Passeriformes, Pipridae. The record is from RefSeq and is a predicted model, not a curated record.